This 617-nucleotide ribosomal RNA is filed under the name Janthinobacterium sp. w6. Its description in RNAcentral is "bacterial SSU rRNA". It matches the Rfam family "Bacterial small subunit ribosomal RNA", at positions 67 to 679 of the family's 1533-position model. The record is from RNAcentral. Lineage: Bacteria; Pseudomonadati; Pseudomonadota; Betaproteobacteria; Burkholderiales; Oxalobacteraceae.
CGGCAGCACGGAGCUUGCUCUGGUGGCGAGUGGCGAACGGGUGAGUAAUAUAUCGGAACGUACCCUAGAGUGGGGGAUAACGUAGCGAAAGUUACGCUAAUACCGCAUACGAUCUAAGGAUGAAAGUGGGGGAUCGCAAGACCUCAUGCUCGUGGAGCGGCCGAUAUCUGAUUAGCUAGUUGGUAGGGUAAAAGCCUACCAAGGCAUCGAUCAGUAGCUGGUCUGAGAGGACGACCAGCCACACUGGAACUGAGACACGGUCCAGACUCCUACGGGAGGCAGCAGUGGGGAAUUUUGGACAAUGGGCGAAAGCCUGAUCCAGCAAUGCCGCGUGAGUGAAGAAGGCCUUCGGGUUGUAAAGCUCUUUUGUCAGGGAAGAAACGGUGAGAGCUAAUAUCUUUUGCUAAUGACGGUACCUGAAGAAUAAGCACCGGCUAACUACGUGCCAGCAGCCGCGGUAAUACGUAGGGUGCAAGCGUUAAUCGGAAUUACUGGGCGUAAAGCGUGCGCAGGCGGUUUUGUAAGUCUGAUGUGAAAUCCCCGGGCUCAACCUGGGAAUUGCAUUGGAGACUGCAAGGCUAGAAUCUGGCAGAGGGGGGUAGAAUUCCACGUGUAGC